RNAcentral lists this ribosomal RNA (253 nucleotides) under uncultured bacterium. RNAcentral's name for it is "partial 16S ribosomal RNA". It matches the Rfam family "Bacterial small subunit ribosomal RNA", at positions 524 to 776 of the family's 1533-position model. The record is from RNAcentral.
UACGGGGGGGGCAAGCGUUGUUCGGAAUUACUGGGCGUAAAGGGCUCGUAGGCGGCCAACUAAGUCAGACGUGAAAUCCCUCGGCUUAACCGGGGAGCUGCGUCUGAUACUGGAUGGCUAGAGGUUGGGAGAGGGAUGCGGAAUUCCAGGUGUAGCGGUGAAAUGCGUGGAUAUCUGGAGGAACACCGGUGGCGAAGGCGGCAUCCUGGACCAAUUCUGACGCUGAGGAGCGAAAGCCAGGGGAGCAAACGGG